This 429-nucleotide ribosomal RNA is filed under the name Actinomycetes bacterium. RNAcentral describes it as "Actinobacteria bacterium partial 16S ribosomal RNA". It matches the Rfam family "Bacterial small subunit ribosomal RNA", at positions 355 to 776 of the family's 1533-position model. Lineage: Bacteria; Bacillati; Actinomycetota; Actinomycetes. The record is from RNAcentral.
UAGGGAAUCUUCCGCAAUGGGCGAAAGCCUGACGGAGCAACGCCGCGUGAGUGAUGAAGGUCUUCGGAUCGUAAAACUCUGUUAUUAGGGAAGAACAAAUGUGUAAGUAACUAUGCACGUCUUGACGGUACCUAAUCAGAAAGCCACGGCUAACUACGUGCCAGCAGCCGCGGUAAUACGUAGGUGGCAAGCGUUAUCCGGAAUUAUUGGGCGUAAAGCGCGCGUAGGCGGUUUUUUAAGUCUGAUGUGAAAGCCCACGGCUCAACCGUGGAGGGUCAUUGGAAACGGGAAAACUUGAGUGCAGAAGAGGAAAGUGGAAUUCCAUGUGUAGCAGUGAAAUGCGCAGAGAUAUGGAGGAACACCAGUGGCGAAGGCGACUUUCUGGUCUGUAACUGACGCUGAUGUGCGAAAGCGUGGGGAUCAAACAGG